AGGUGAACAUUCUAGAUGAGGUUAAUUCUAUACUGAGAACAUACUGUAGGUGAACAUUCUAGAUGAUGUUAAUUCUAUACUGAGAACAUACCGUAGGUGAACAUUCUAGAUGAUGUUAAUUCUAUACUGAGAACAUACCGUAGGUGAACAUUCUAGAUGAUGUU
Long non-coding RNA from Mytilus californianus (California mussel), 164 nucleotides. RefSeq lists it as uncharacterized. NCBI's taxonomy places the organism in Eukaryota, Metazoa, Mollusca, Bivalvia, Mytilida, Mytilidae. The record is from RefSeq and is a predicted model, not a curated record. The transcript is spliced from 3 exons.